GACGAACGCUGGCGGCGUGCUUAACACAUGCAAGUCGAACGGUGAAGGGACUGGUUUUGCUGGUCCUGGAUGAGUGGCGAACGGGUGAGUAACACGUGAGUAACCUUCCCCCUUCUUCUGGAUAACCGCAUGAAAGUGUGGCUAAUACGGGAUAUUCUGGGUCUGUCGCAUGGUGGGCCUGGGAAAGAUUGCGCCUUUUUUGGUGUUUUUGGUGGGGGAUGGGCUCGCGGCCUAUCAGCUUGUUGGGGGGGUGAUGGCCUACCAAGGCGGUGACGGGUAGCCGGCCUGAGAGGGUGGACGGUCACACUGGGACUGAGACACGGCCCAGACUCCUACGGGAGGCAGCAGUGGGGAAUAUUGCACAAUGGGCGCAAGCCUGAUGCAGCGACGCCGCGUGAGGGAUGGAGGCCUUCGGGUUGUGAACUUCUUUCGCCAGUGAAGCAGGCCUGCCUCUUUUUGUGAGUGGGUUGACGGUAGCUGGAUAAGAAGCGCCGGCUAACUACGUG
Molecule: ribosomal RNA, 506 nt
Filed under: uncultured bacterium
Lineage: Bacteria
Description: partial 16S ribosomal RNA
Rfam family: Bacterial small subunit ribosomal RNA
Source: RNAcentral